AUUGAACGCUGGCGGCAGGCUUAACACAUGCAAGUCGAGCGGGGAAGGGUAGCUUGCUACCUAACCUAGCGGCGGACGGGUGAGUAAUGCUUAGGAAUCUGCCAUUUAGUGGGGGACAACAUUCCGAAAGGAAUGCUACUACCGCAUACGUCCUAGGGGAGAAAGCAGGGGAUCUUCGGACCUUGCGCUAAAUGAUGAGCCUAAGUCGGAUUAGCUAGUUGGUGGGGUAAAGGCGUACCAAGGCGACGAUCUGUAGCGGGUCUGAGAGGAUGAUCCGCCACACUGGGACUGAGACACGGCCCAGACUCCUACGGGAGGCAGCAGUGGGGAAGAUUGGACAAUGGGCGGAAGCUUGAUCCAGCCAUGCCGCGUGUGUGAAGAAGGCCUUAUGGUUGUAAAGCACUUUAAGCGAGGAGGAGGCUACUUAGAUUAAUACUCUAGGAUAGUGGACGUUACUCGCAGAAUAAGCACCGGCUAACUCUGUGCCAGCCGCCGCCGUAA
RNAcentral lists this ribosomal RNA (501 nucleotides) under uncultured bacterium. Its description in RNAcentral is "partial 16S ribosomal RNA". It matches the Rfam family "Bacterial small subunit ribosomal RNA", at positions 30 to 523 of the family's 1533-position model. The record is from RNAcentral.